Molecule: ribosomal RNA, 252 nt
Filed under: uncultured bacterium
Lineage: Bacteria
Description: partial 16S ribosomal RNA
Rfam family: Bacterial small subunit ribosomal RNA
Source: RNAcentral
GUCCACGCCGUAACGUUGGCACUAGGUGUGGACUCUAUCGACGGGUUCCGUGCCGUAGCUAACGCAUUAAGUGCCCGCCUGGGAGUACGGCCGCAAGGCUAAACUCAAGGAAUUGACGGGCCCGCACAAGCGGCGGAGCAUGUGGCUUAAUUCGAUGCAACGCGAAGAACCUUACCUGGGCUGAACUAUGCGGGAAAAGCAGCAGAGAUGCUGUGUCCUUCGGGUCCGCGAUAGGUGGUGCAUGGCUGUCGU